CACUUAUUAGAUACAAAGCCAAUGACACUUGUGUCUUUAUUGGUGAAUCAUAAUAAUUUUUCGAAUCGAACAGUUUAAUACUGUCGAUAGGUCAUUGAAGUUUCUGCCCUAUCAGCUGAGUUGUUAGUGUAUUGGACUAACAUGGCUAAAACGGGUGACGGAGGAUUAGGGUCUGAUUCCGGAGAGGGAGCCUGAGAAACAGCUACCACUUCCAAGGAAGGCAGCAGGCGCGUAAAUUACCCAAUCCCGAUACGGGGAGGUAGUGACAAGAAAUAACAAUACCAACCUUGUGUUGGUAAUUGGAAUGAGUACAACUUAAAUGCUUUAACGAGCAUCAAUUGGAGGGCAAGUCUGGUGCCAGCAGCCGCGGUAAUACCAGCUCCAAUAGCGUAUAUUAACGUUGUUGCAGUUAAAAGGCUCGUAGUCAAACUUAUGGCUCUUGAGAGACUCGCUCUUCAUCUAUGAUGAUGCAGCUGAGACUUUCGAGUCAUCUUUGUGGAUUUGCACAUCUGUACUUGAUUGAAUGGGUGUGCAGUCUGCAUCAUUUACUGUGAGUAAAACAAAGUGUUCAAAGCA
Molecule: ribosomal RNA, 576 nt
Filed under: uncultured eukaryote
Lineage: Eukaryota
Description: bacterial SSU rRNA
Rfam family: Eukaryotic small subunit ribosomal RNA
Source: RNAcentral